This 252-nucleotide ribosomal RNA is filed under the name uncultured bacterium. Its description in RNAcentral is "partial 16S ribosomal RNA". It matches the Rfam family "Bacterial small subunit ribosomal RNA", at positions 524 to 776 of the family's 1533-position model. The record is from RNAcentral.
UACGGAGGAUGCGAGCGUUAUCCGGAUUUAUUGGGUUUAAAGGGUGCGUAGGCGGAAUAUCAAGUCAGCGGUAAAAAUUCGGGGCUCAACCCCGUCGUGCCGUUGAAACUGAUGUUCUUGAGUGGGCGAGAAGUAUGCGGAAUGCGUGGUGUAGCGGUGAAAUGCAUAGAUAUCACGCAGAACUCCGAUUGCGAAGGCAGCAUACCGGCGCCCGACUGACGCUGAGGCACGAAAGCGUGGGGAUCGAACAGG